Molecule: transfer RNA, 71 nt
Filed under: Streptomyces albogriseolus
Lineage: Bacteria; Bacillati; Actinomycetota; Actinomycetes; Kitasatosporales; Streptomycetaceae
Also listed under: 1 other name
Description: tRNA-Arg
Source: RNAcentral
GCCCGCGGCGGGCGGGUACGGCCCGCCGCCCGCGGAGCCGUCCGGCGGCGGUUCCGGCCGCCCCGCGGGCA